AGUGAACGCUGGCGGCAGGCCUAACACAUGCAAGUCGAACGGAUCCUUCGGGAUUAGUGGCGGACGGGUGAGUAACACGUGGGAACGUGCCCUUUGGUUCGGAACAACUCAGGGAAACUUGAGCUAAUACCGGAUGUGCCCUUCGGGGGAAAGAUUUAUCGCCAUUGGAGCGGCCCGCGUCUGAUUAGCUAGUUGGUGAGGUAAAGGCUCACCAAGGCGACGAUCAGUAGCUGGUCUGAGAGAAUGAUCAGCCACAUUGGGACUGAGACACAGCCCAAACUCCUACGGGAGGCAGCAGUGGGGAAUCUUGCGCAAUGGGCGAAAGCCUGACGCAGCCAUGCCGCGUGAAUGAUGAAGGUCUUAGGAUUGUAAAAUUCUUUCACCGGGGACGAUAAUGACGGUACCCGGAGAAGAAGCCCCGGCUAACUUCGUGCCAGCAGCCGCCGUAA
RNAcentral lists this ribosomal RNA (449 nucleotides) under uncultured bacterium. RNAcentral describes it as "partial 16S ribosomal RNA". It matches the Rfam family "Bacterial small subunit ribosomal RNA", at positions 29 to 523 of the family's 1533-position model. The record is from RNAcentral.